AGAUGCCUUCAAGACCAGGCAGGCAUAGUGUCCAGUAGCCAGCAAGAGCACCCAGGCCCCAUCUAAAGGAAGCUAGGCUGCGCAGCCUCAGGCAAGUGUUGGCAUGCAGGAACAUAGGUCAUUGUGGCCAGAUUGCUCAUUCUUCAAGAAAAGCCAGAAAUCUAGAUUGUAUGGGAAAGCUCCUAAUUUUUAAGACAACUUAUUUUAAAAAAUUAAACAUCUGUCUGCAGUCCAGAUGGAUAAAGACACAUCCCUGUGGUUGGAGGACUACACCAAGGAGGUGGGGCUCAUGCCAGGCCUUGAAUGAUGAGGAAACUGAGCCAGCAGAGAGACAGGAAGGAGCCCACGCAGGGUUACACAAGCAGUUAGCAGAAACAAUAUGGGAACCCAGGUCUGCUCGGCUGCACAGCUCACCGUCCGACCUCUCCCCCAAUCCCCAUGGGCCUUGCACCUCGGAUGGCCGAGGGGAUCCUGGAUUUCAGCAGUCCCACGCCCCUUGUGGGUUUGAAGUUCCUUGCGGGUUUAUCUCGCGUAGGCCCAUGGCACACUGUCCCUACCCUGCCCUGCCCCACCCCACCCCACCCUCCAAUUCCUUCACAGCCUCCUUUGAACUUGGUCUCAAGGCUCGCCCACAAAUCCCAGGAAGUGUCUUGGAUGCAGAAGAGUUUCAUGGUGUUCCUUAUAAAAGCACAACCUGACAUGCA
RNAcentral lists this long non-coding RNA (704 nucleotides) under Pan troglodytes (chimpanzee). Its description in RNAcentral is "lincRNA". The record is from RNAcentral. Lineage: Eukaryota; Metazoa; Chordata; Mammalia; Primates; Hominidae.